UGAAAUUCAUGGCACGGGAUGGCUUGGGCCAUCAUCACUGCUGAAGUAACAAGGUCUUUCUUCCUGCACAUCUUUUCUCUUGCUCUCAAUUACACUGUUCACCCUGCACCAAUCUGCACACAUGUCAUGGUUUUGUGAUUUUUGGUUAUUGGUAUUCCACAUCAUAACAUCAUGUAGUGGACAUACCUAGUUCUCAGAAGAGAAGGACUACUACAGUCCCCACGGUACUUUGCUCCUUUGUUACCAUUUUCCAGCCGGAGGGAAAAGAUAGAAGCUCGCAGUAUAAAAACUUGCAGAUCACGAGACCUCGUCCCUUUUUCCGCCGUCUCUCGUCUUGGCAGCACCUCGCUCUCCAGCCGUCUUAUCGUCGGUAGUAGAGUAAGGCCUACCUUGAUUUUGGGACAUUCUCUCUCUCUGUGUUGGAUUUAUCAGCUUAAAUUGUAAUUAUAUUGUAUUAUAGUGUGUUGUUUUGCAUUCCGAUAUCUUAUUUAGUAAAUUAGUUUGUUUCUCCUCAGAUUGUUGCCGCUGUUCUUUGCUCUCAGGGCCAUCUCCCUACCCUUUUCCCCCUUUCCCCUUUUCCCGGGACGUGGGCCCUUGGGUCCCCUGUCCCCUUCGUCACGGAAUCGGGCCUAACGCCCGUAAACCGUUGACAACACAUAAGACCCCUAUCAUCCUUACUUGCCAGAAAAGUGAAUCAGUAGGAAAAAAAGGCCUUUUUCUUGAUUAGAGACAGGAUAGGGCUGCAUGGAGACAGAUAAGAAGAACACCUCUUCUGGAGACCAUAUCUCCAUAGCAAUUUUGUUUACAUCAAUCUCUGGUUUCAUGGGUAGAGUUGAUCUCUGCACUGAGAAUAGGGUCUACACCCAGGGGUACCGAACUACAUGCUUUAAUGUUCUUCUUACUAUUCUGCAUGUAUGGAAUCCAAUGCACAGCAUGAACAAAUGUGAAUCUCAUAUUUGGAGAAGCAUGUACAGAACCACAAGUUCUCCAGCAUGAUUGAAGUCUGAAGUUAAAAGUGGCAAAAGACAGAUGAAAAUUUACAUGAAAUCUUGGAGAAAUGUAAAGGGAAAGAGCUUUACUGAAGAAACUCAUGAUGAAUAAAAGAAUGAUAACCAUUGUCUAAUUUGAAUCC
RNAcentral lists this long non-coding RNA (1132 nucleotides) under Numida meleagris (helmeted guineafowl). Its description in RNAcentral is "lncRNA (ENSNMEG00000007730.1)". Lineage: Eukaryota; Metazoa; Chordata; Aves; Galliformes; Numididae. The record is from RNAcentral.